GUCCUGAGAGGGAGUUCCCCCACCCUGGUACUGGGCCACGGACCAGACUCCUACGGGAGGCAGCAGUGAGGAAUAUUGGACAAUGGGGGCAAGCCUGAUCCAGCCAUGCCGCGUGCAGGAUGACGGUCCUAUGGAUUGUAAACUGCUUUUAUACGAGAAGAAACACUGCUUCGUGAAGCAGCUUGACGGUAUCGUAAGAAUAAGGAUCGGCUAACUCCGUGCCAGCAGCCGCGGUAAUACGGAGGAUCCAAGCGUUAUCCGGAAUCAUUGGGUUUAAAGGGUCCGUAGGCGGUUUAAUAAGUCAGUGGUGAAAGCCCAUCGCUCAACGGUGGAACGGCCAUUGAUACUGUUAAACUUGAAUUAUUAGGAAGUAACUAGAAUAUGUAGUGUAGCGGUGAAAUGCUUAGAGAUUACAUGGAAUACCAAUUGCGAAGGCAGGUUACUACUAAUGGAUUGACGCUGAUGGACGAAAGCGUGGGUAGCGAACAGGAUUAGAUACCCUGGUAGUCCACGCCGUAAACGAUGGAUACUAGCUGUUGGAAGCGAUUUCAGUGGCUAAGCGAAAGUGAUAAGUAUCCCACCUGGGGAGUACGUUCGCAAGAAUGAAACUCAAAGGAAUUGACGGGGGCCCGCACAAGCGGUGGAGCAUGUGGUUUAAUUCGAUGAUACGCGAGGAACCUUACCAAGGCUUAAAUGUAGUUUGACCGAUUUGGAAACAGAUCUUUCGCAAGACAAAUUACAAGGUGCUGCAUGGUUGUCGUCAGCUCGUGCCGUGAGGUGUCAGGUUAAGUCCUAUAACGAGCGCAACCCCUGUUGUUAGUUGCCAGCGAGUCAUGUCGG
Molecule: ribosomal RNA, 840 nt
Filed under: Flavobacterium sp. 4cultural_85
Lineage: Bacteria; Pseudomonadati; Bacteroidota; Flavobacteriia; Flavobacteriales; Flavobacteriaceae
Description: bacterial SSU rRNA
Rfam family: Bacterial small subunit ribosomal RNA
Source: RNAcentral